Galeopterus variegatus (Sunda flying lemur) is the source of this 373-nucleotide long non-coding RNA. RefSeq lists it as uncharacterized. The record is from RefSeq and is a predicted model, not a curated record. The transcript is spliced from 2 exons. Lineage: Eukaryota; Metazoa; Chordata; Mammalia; Dermoptera; Cynocephalidae.
UCUCAUUUCGGGGUCCUGGGGGUCGCCAAAUGCGCUCGGCGAGCUAGAUGCCUCCGAAACGAGCCAGGGACUCCCUCAGCUGCCAGUCAGGCUGGCGCCCUGGGAAAUGCAAAGCCCCAGCACAGAGCAGCACAACUCCCCUCAACGAGCACAGGCAGCUGAAACAGAAACAGGAAUAAGGAUGUCGAAAAUCUGUUUCAGCCCUGCAACAGAACAGCUCCCAAAGACAGGGGCAUCACAGGGUCCUGCUACCUUCUUUAGACAGAGAAGAGCACCCACAGCCAAGAAAACAAGACACGGAUGAAUAUCGAUAAAUUAGUCUGCCAUGUAAUCAUCCAUGAAUUUAAUUACUUCAUUAAAAUACAGAAAUGUA